UACGGAGGGUGCAAGCGUUAUCCGGAUUUACUGGGUUUAAAGGGUGCGUAGGUGGGUAAGUAAGUCAGUGGUGAAAUCUUCGAGCUUAACUCGGAAACUGCCAUUGAUACUAUUUAUCUUGAAUACUUUGGAGGUAAGCGGAAUAUGUCAUGUAGCGGUGAAAUGCUUAGAUAUGACAUAGAACACCAAUUGCGAAGGCAGCUUACUACACAGUCAUUGACACUGAGGCACGAAAGCGUGGGGAUCAAACAGG
RNAcentral lists this ribosomal RNA (253 nucleotides) under uncultured bacterium. Its description in RNAcentral is "partial 16S ribosomal RNA". It matches the Rfam family "Bacterial small subunit ribosomal RNA", at positions 524 to 776 of the family's 1533-position model. The record is from RNAcentral.